Molecule: ribosomal RNA, 282 nt
Filed under: Faecalibacterium prausnitzii
Lineage: Bacteria; Bacillati; Bacillota; Clostridia; Eubacteriales; Oscillospiraceae
Description: partial 16S ribosomal RNA
Rfam family: Bacterial small subunit ribosomal RNA
Source: RNAcentral
AACGUAGGUCACAAGCGUUGUCCGGAAUUACUGGGUGUAAAGGGAGCGCAGGCGGGAAGACAAGUUGGAAGUGAAAUCUAUGGGCUCAACCCAUAAACUGCUUUCAAAACUGUUUUUCUUGAGUAGUGCAGAGGUAGGCGGAAUUCCCGGUGUAGCGGUGGAAUGCGUAGAUAUCGGGAGGAACACCAGUGGCGAAGGCGGCCUACUGGGCACCAACUGACGCUGAGGCUCGAAAGUGUGGGUAGCAAACAGGAUUAGAUACCCUGGUAGUCGGCACUGACU